Molecule: ribosomal RNA, 253 nt
Filed under: uncultured bacterium
Lineage: Bacteria
Description: partial 16S ribosomal RNA
Rfam family: Bacterial small subunit ribosomal RNA
Source: RNAcentral
UACGUAGGGGGCAAGCGUUGUCCGGAAUCACUGGGCUUAAAGCGUGUGUAGGCGGAUCGUUAAGUGCCUUGUGAAAUCCCACGGCUUAACCGUGGAACUGCUUGGCAUACUGGCGGUCUUGAGCAACCUAGGGGCGAGCGGAACAAAUGGUGGAGCGGUGAAAUGCGUAGAUAUCAUUUGGAACGCCAAUGGUGAAAACAGCUCGCUGGGGGUUUGCUGACGCUGAGACACGAAAGCCAGGGGAGCAAACGGG